RNAcentral lists this non-coding RNA (30 nucleotides) under Homo sapiens (human). Lineage: Eukaryota; Metazoa; Chordata; Mammalia; Primates; Hominidae. The record is from RNAcentral.
UAAACCCAUGCAUUGCACCUGCUACGCAGA